GGUUAAGCGACUAAGCGUACACGGUGGAUGCCCUGGCAGUCAGAGGCGAUGAAGGGCGUGCUAAUCUGCGAUAAGCGCCGGUAAGGUGAUAUGAACCGUUAUAACCGGCGAUACCCGAAUGGGGAAACCCAGUGUGACUCGUCACACUAUCAUUAACUGAAUCCAUAGGUUAAUGAGGCGAACCGGGGGAACUGAAACAUCUAAGUACCCCGAGGAAAAGAAAUCAACCGAGAUUCCCCCAGUAGCGGCGAGCGAACGGGGAGGAGCCCAGAGCCUGAAUCAGCAUGUGUGUUAGUGGAAGCGUCUGGAAAGGCGCGCGAUACAGGGUGACAGCCCCGUACACAAAAGCGCAUGUGCUGUGAGCUCGAUGAGUAGGGCGGGACACGUGGUAUCCUGUCUGAAUAUGGGGGGACCAUCCUCCAAGGCUAAAUACUCCUGACUGACCGAUAGUGAACCAGUACCGUGAGGGAAAGGCGAAAAGAACCCCGGCGAGGGGAGUGAAAAAGAACCUGAAACCGUGUACGUACAAGCAGUGGGAGCACCCUUUGGGUGUGACUGCGUACCUUUUGUAUAAUGGGUCAGCGACUUAUAUUCUGUAGCAAGGUUAACCGAAUAGGGGAGCCGGAGGGAAACCGAGUCUUAAUUGGGCGUUAAGUUGCAGGGUAUAGACCCGAAACCCGGUGAUCUAGCCAUGGGCAGGUUGAAGGUUGGGUAACACUAACUGGAGGACCGAACCGACUAAUGUUGAAAAAUUAGCGGAUGACCUGUGGCUGGGGGUGAAAGGCCAAUCAAACCGGGAGAUAGCUGGUUCUCCCCGAAAGCUAUUUAGGUAGCGCCUCGUGAAUUCAUCUCCGGGGGUAGAGCACUGUUUCGGCUAGGGGGCCAUCCCGGCUUACCAACCCGAUGCAAACUGCGAAUACCGGAGAAUGUUAUCACGGGAGACACACGGCGGGUGCUAACGUCCGUCGUGAAGAGGGAAACAACCCAGACCGCCAGCUAAGGUCCCAAAGUCAUGGUUAAGUGGGAAACGAUGUGGGAAGGCCCAGACAGCCAGGAUGUUGGCUUAGAAGCAGCCAUCAUUUAAAGAAAGCGUAAUAGCUCACUGGUCGAGUCGGCCUGCGCGGAAGAUGUAACGGGGCUAAACCAUGCACCGAAGCUGCGGCAGCGACACUGUGUGUUGUUGGGUAGGGGAGCGUUCUGUAAGCCUGUGAAGGUGUGUCGUGAGGCAUGCUGGAGGUAUCAGAAGUGCGAAUGCUGACAUAAGUAACGAUAAAGCGGGUGAAAAGCCCGCUCGCCGGAAGACCAAGGGUUCCUGUCCAACGUUAAUCGGGGCAGGGUGAGUCGACCCCUAAGGCGAGGCCGAAAGGCGUAGUCGAUGGGAAACGGGUUAAUAUUCCCGUACUUGGUGUUACUGCGAAGGGGGGACGGAGAAGGCUAUGUUGGCCGGGCGACGGUUGUCCCGGUUUAAGCGUGUAGGUGUGUGUUCCAGGUAAAUCCGGUUCACUUUAACACUGAGGCGUGACGACGAGGCACUACGGUGCUGAAGCAACAAAUGCCCUGCUUCCAGGAAAAGCCUCUAAGCAUCAGGUAACAUCAAAUCGUACCCCAAACCGACACAGGUGGUCAGGUAGAGAAUACCAAGGCGCUUGAGAGAACUCGGGUGAAGGAACUAGGCAAAAUGGUGCCGUAACUUCGGGAGAAGGCACGCUGACACGUAGGUGAAGUGAUUUACUCAUGGAGCUGAAGUCAGUCGAAGAUACCAGCUGGCUGCAACUGUUUAUUAAAAACACAGCACUGUGCAAACACGAAAGUGGACGUAUACGGUGUGACGCCUGCCCGGUGCCGGAAGGUUAAUUGAUGGGGUCAGCGCAAGCGAAGCUCCUGAUCGAAGCCCCGGUAAACGGCGGCCGUAACUAUAACGGUCCUAAGGUAGCGAAAUUCCUUGUCGGGUAAGUUCCGACCUGCACGAAUGGCGUAAUGAUGGCCAGGCUGUCUCCACCCGAGACUCAGUGAAAUUGAACUCGCUGUGAAGAUGCAGUGUACCCGCGGCAAGACGGAAAGACCCCGUGAACCUUUACUAUAGCUUGACACUGAACAUUGAGCCUUGAUGUGUAGGAUAGGUGGGAGGCUUUGAAGUGUGGACGCCAGUCUGCAUGGAGCCGACCUUGAAAUACCACCCUUUAAUGUUUGAUGUUCUAACGUGGACCCGUUACCCGGGUUGCGGACAGUGUCUGGUGGGUAGUUUGACUGGGGCGGUCUCCUCC
RNAcentral lists this ribosomal RNA (2264 nucleotides) under Salmonella enterica. Its description in RNAcentral is "partial 23S ribosomal RNA". It matches the Rfam family "Bacterial large subunit ribosomal RNA", at positions 1 to 2290 of the family's 2925-position model. RNAcentral also lists the same sequence under 1 other name. Lineage: Bacteria; Pseudomonadati; Pseudomonadota; Gammaproteobacteria; Enterobacterales; Enterobacteriaceae. The record is from RNAcentral.